GACGAACGCUGGCGGCGUGCCUAACACAUGCAAGUCGAACGAGGUCCAAGGGAGCUUGCUCCCUGACGACCUAGUGGCGAACGGGUGAGUAACACGUGAGAAACCUGCCUCGGAGUGGGGAAUAACUCGGGGAAACUCGAGCUAAUACCGCAUACCUUCACAUGAUCGCAUGGUCGAGUGAAGAAAGAAUUUCGCUCUGAGAGGGUCUCGCGGCCUAUCAGCUUGUUGGUGGGGUAACGGCCUACCAAGGCAACGACGGGUAGCUGGUUUGAGAGAACGAUCAGCCACACUGGGACUGAGACACGGCCCAGACUCCUACGGGAGGCAGCAGUGGGGAAUCUUGCGCAAUGGGCGAAAGCCUGACGCAGCAACGCCGCGUGCGGGAUGACGGCCUUCGUGGUUGUAAACCGCUUUCAGCAGGGACGAAAAUGAUGGUACCUGCAGAAGAAGCCCCGGCUAACUACGUGCCAGCCGCCGCCGUAA
RNAcentral lists this ribosomal RNA (483 nucleotides) under uncultured bacterium. RNAcentral's name for it is "partial 16S ribosomal RNA". It matches the Rfam family "Bacterial small subunit ribosomal RNA", at positions 28 to 523 of the family's 1533-position model. The record is from RNAcentral.